RNAcentral lists this ribosomal RNA (252 nucleotides) under uncultured bacterium. RNAcentral describes it as "partial 16S ribosomal RNA". It matches the Rfam family "Bacterial small subunit ribosomal RNA", at positions 524 to 776 of the family's 1533-position model. The record is from RNAcentral.
UACGAAGGGGGCUAGCGUUGCUCGGAUUGACUGGGCGUAAAGGGCGCGUAGGCGGUUCGUACAGUCAGACGUGAAAUUCCCUGGGCUCAACCUGGGGCUGCGUUUGAUACGUGCGGACUUGAGUGCGGAAGAGGUCGUGGAAUUCCCAGUGUAGAGGUGAAAUUCGUAGAUAUUGGGAAGAACACCGGUGGCGAAGGCGGCGACCUGGUCCGAUACUGACGCUGAGGCGCGAAAGCGUGGGGAGCAAACAGG